RNAcentral lists this transfer RNA (65 nucleotides) under Aleeta curvicosta. RNAcentral describes it as "tRNA-Met". The record is from RNAcentral. Lineage: Eukaryota; Metazoa; Arthropoda; Insecta; Hemiptera; Cicadidae.
AAAAAGAUAAGCUAAUAUAAAGCUAAUGGGUUCAUACCCCAUCUAUGGAAAAAAUCCUCUUUUUA